UUUGCCUCUCAAGUGUUGGGAUUAAAGGCAUGCACACCACUGCUCAGCUAACCUGGAAUAUUUCUUGAGACAACUUGGAAAGGAGCCAGAACCACAUUCAAUAACUCAACUGGAUAGUCAGCUCCAGCUUGGCUCACCUGAAACAAUCAUGAGGAAGUAGCUCUGGCAAGAGGCUGCCUGGGGCAAGAACUGUAGAAUGUUCCAAUUGUUCUCCACUUCCAGUCUUCCUGCUUUCCAGUGCUUCCCUUUUUGGCCAUCUGCAAGGAUGCCAUGGAGAACAAGGGUCUGCUGUCUUGGCCUAUUUCCUUGGUACUACUCUAGCACAAGGUGAUCAGCUUUAUAUCCAUUUCACAAACAUCACAGCCCUUCCCUCACAUGGCUCUUGGAUGCAGUCUCCAUUCACCCACAGGUAUUGUGCAUCACUAAAUUCACCUGCUAGCUCCCAGACCCUGCCUUUUCACAACUCUGCACUGGAAUCCCUCCCCUGACCUGAUACUGCCUUGUGGUGAGUUAGUCUUAGAGGGGGCAAGUAAAUGCCAGCAUUUCUAUUCUAAUGCUGAAUUCCAUUCUGUGCAAAAAGUGGGCACUGCUAGCUCUCUGUAAUCACCUGAAAUGACUGCCCCAACACCCAAUGUGCCUGGGCUGUUCCAGCUCCCGUGGUGUCUUGUUCUCUUGACAUGACUGGCAUUGCCAGUGUUUCCAUAACUCUUUCUCCAUGAGUUUUGCCAGGUUCUGCC
This 737-nucleotide long non-coding RNA is filed under the name Mus pahari (shrew mouse). RNAcentral's name for it is "predicted gene 15792 (MGP_PahariEiJ_G0003146.1)". The record is from RNAcentral. Lineage: Eukaryota; Metazoa; Chordata; Mammalia; Rodentia; Muridae.